Molecule: transfer RNA, 65 nt
Filed under: Camelus bactrianus (Bactrian camel)
Lineage: Eukaryota; Metazoa; Chordata; Mammalia; Artiodactyla; Camelidae
Also listed under: 2 other names
Rfam family: tRNA
About the family: Transfer RNA (tRNA) molecules are approximately 80 nucleotides in length.
Source: Rfam by way of RNAcentral
UGUGUAGCUUAGUGGUAGAGUGCACGUCUCAUAUGCAUGAGGUCAUAGGUUCAAUCCCUGGCACA